GACGAACGCUGGCGGCGUGCCUAAUACAUGCAAGUAGAACGCUGAAGGAGGAGCUUGCUUCUCCGGAUGAGUUGCGAACGGGUGAGUAACGCGUAGGUAACCUGCCUGGUAGCGGGGGAUAACUAUUGGAAACGAUAGCUAAUACCGCAUAACAGUAGAUAUCGCAUGAUAUCUGCUUGAAAGGUGCAAUUGCAUCACUACUAGAUGGACCUGCGUUGUAUUAGCUAGUUGGUGAGGUAACGGCUCACCAAGGCGACGAUACAUAGCCGACCUGGGAGGGUGAUCGGCCACACUGGGACUGGGACACGGCCCAGACUCCUACGGGAGGCAGCAGUAGGGAAUCUUCGACAAUGGACGGAAGUCUGACCGAGCAACGCCGCGUGAGUGAAGAAGGUUUUCGGAUCGUAAAGCUCUGUUGUAAGAGAAGAACGAGUGUGAGAGUGAAAAGUUCACGCUGUGACGGUAUCUUACCAGAAAGGGACGGCUAACUACGUG
This 495-nucleotide ribosomal RNA is filed under the name uncultured bacterium. RNAcentral's name for it is "partial 16S ribosomal RNA". It matches the Rfam family "Bacterial small subunit ribosomal RNA", at positions 28 to 507 of the family's 1533-position model. The record is from RNAcentral.